AUGCACGCUGGCGGCGUGCCUCAUACAUGCAAGUCGCGCGAACAGACGAGGAGCUUGCUCCUCUGACGUUAGCGGCGGACGGGUGAGUAACACGUGGAUAACCUACCUAUAAGACUGGGAUAACUUCGGGAAACCGGAGCUAAUACCGGAUAAUAUAUUGAACCGCAUGGUUCAAUAGUGAAAGACGGUUUUGCUGUCACUUAUAGAUGGAUCCGCGCCGCAUUAGCUAGUUGGUAAGGUAACGGCUUACCAAGGCAACGAUGCGUAGCCGACCUGAGAGGGUGAUCGGCCACACUGGAACUGAGACACGGUCAAGACUCCUACGGGAGGCAGCAGUAGGGAAUCUUCCGCAAUGGGCGAAAGCCUGACGGAGCAACGCCGCGUGAGUGAUGAAGGUCUUCGGAUCGUAAAACUCUGUUAUUAGGGAAGAACAAAUGUGUAAGUAACUAUGCACGUCUUGACGGUACCUAAUCAGAAAGCCACGGCUAACUACGUG
RNAcentral lists this ribosomal RNA (496 nucleotides) under uncultured bacterium. Its description in RNAcentral is "partial 16S ribosomal RNA". It matches the Rfam family "Bacterial small subunit ribosomal RNA", at positions 29 to 507 of the family's 1533-position model. The record is from RNAcentral.